RNAcentral lists this ribosomal RNA (394 nucleotides) under uncultured bacterium. Its description in RNAcentral is "bacterial SSU rRNA". It matches the Rfam family "Bacterial small subunit ribosomal RNA", at positions 28 to 424 of the family's 1533-position model. The record is from RNAcentral.
GACGAACGCUGGCGGCGUGCUUAACACAUGCAAGUCGAGCGGUAAGGCCCUUUCGGGGGUACACGAGUGGCGGACGGGUGAGUAAUGCUUAGGAAUCUGCCUAGUAGUGGGGGAUAACCCGGGGAAACUCGGGCUAAUACCGCAUACGCCCUACAGGGGGAAAGCGGGGGACUUUCGGGCCUCGCGCUAUUAGAUGAGCCUAAGUCCGAUUAGCUAGUUGGUAGGGUAAUGGCCUACCAAGGCGACGAUCGGUAGCUGGCUGAGAGGACGACCAGCCACACUGGGACUGAGACACGGCCCAGACUCCUACGGGAGGGCAGCAGUGGGGAAGUAUUGGACAAUGGGCGCAAGCCUGAUCCAGCGAUGCCGCGUGUGUGAAGAAGGCCUGCGGGUU